CACAGUACGGUCUUCAACACGGAGCCUUGGCUCACACCGAACAGUAAGCUAUAAAGGGCCCCAAAAAUAACUAGUGUAAAACCAUUCAAACGGGAAAACCAACGGUCUAAUCUAUAUAAAAAACGAGAAACGAGAAACACUUAUGAACCACAUCAACAAACGACAACUACUGAACAUCAGAUUCCUGACUUAGGACAGGUGCAAACAAAUGCAGCGGGUUUAAACGUUUUAAUGGUACCAAACCUUCACCCUUUUUCUGAAACAAUAGUGUAACAUCACAACAUAGACAACAUGUCUGUCUGACAAGGUUCAUUUAACCUUUACCUCAUUUUUACAGCCCAUUAUUAAUUUAAGUUUUUGUGAUAACUGUAGAAAUCCCUUUAUUCCGAAGCCUUUCAGUAUAAAAUUCAAUCAAUCAAAGCAUGAGAGCACUACAAAGGCAAUUGACGCCAAGUUUGGACCAUUUGGUCAAUAACUAACAUACGUCCUUGAUUUGGUUGACUGAUUCGAUCCAUUAACAUAUUUUUGUGACGUCCAUGCAUUCUUAAAUGUUUUUUUUAGACUCUGGAUUACCGAUAUACGUAAUAGUAUUGUAACGUGUAACCAGUAAGGCGUUUAUAUCUUAAACGAACGUUCCAGUAAAUAAUUGGAUUCAAGCUGUCCAUAAACAUUACGGUAUUGCCAAAAACCUACAACUAUGUAUCUAUGUUAUGUACAAUGACUCAUUGUUGCUUAAGUUACAUGCUUACGUGUGUUGUAUUCGAAGGUGGUGGAAGUGGUGUUGGCUCGAGAGAGAAAAAAUUUGUUUAUAUGGUUAUUUCAGUGCUCCAAAGAACUUUUUGUGUUAUAAUCUGGUGACAUCUACACGCAUUUAUCAUUGGCGCAGAUUUAAAAUUGACAUUUAAAAAAAUAGUAGACGAGUUUAUACCUUUUCAAAUUUACCUGGUGUAAUUUGACCCCCGCGAAGGCAAUCCUUCUAGAUUUUAAAAAGUUAGUUUAAGCCCCACCUGUUAUAAUUCAAACCUUAACGUACUAAUAUAAUGUGAUUCUGAGUGUUUAAUAAUCAUUUCUUUUUAGAUUUUAUAAAUAGAAUUAUAGAAUUUGACUACUGAAGUCGGACUAUUUUUAAGCAGUUAAGCUGCUUUAUGCGAGCACCCUAGAUUUGUGUUCUACCCAAUAAAUGCUGAAAUAUGUGCCAUUGUUAUUAUCUGGCUGGCUAUUAUGUUAUUUAUAACUAAUUGAACACUUUUUUCAUACUUUUUAUUCUGGAAUACAAAAAAUAUGACCAGAAAAACCUUAAAUGAUCGUCGAACCACCCAAAAGUUUUGAAGUUGCACAUAGAAAGUAGUGCUCGCUUGAAAUCCUUAUGUAGAUUGUUCUCCCCUGUGCUUUUGGCUAAGAUGUUAUAGAACAAUUGCCGGUAUGAAAUAUUUAAUCGCCGAAAAUCUCUAAUUACAAGUCGUUUACAUUUGCCAAAUGGCAAAAAGCGCAGGAAUAUUGUAUAACGGCUGUGACUAAUAUGACACGGUGUUAAGUCUCAGUUGGCGGUAAUUUUAACUUCGUCGACAAAACGUAAAUCAAUGACGUUCUAAAUUUGGUGGAUUCAGAUAAUACGAAAGUAAUUAAUAUUAAUCAUUUUAUUCGUUUUUGUCUGAGAUGAUUGUGAUUAUUUAAAUCAUCUUAAUUAAAUGUAUGCUCAUUUGUUUUCUUGUUAACACUAUAUAUUCCGUUUAUCUCGUAAAUGAGCUUCAUGCUUGUCAAAUCAAGUUGUUGUUAUUGUUAUUGAAUGAAAUAAAACUAGAGAUCUGAUUGGUCGAUGUCAAGGUCAUUUCAAGAUGGUUUCCUUUGUGUUUUUAGUCAGGCUUUGGUGUUACAGGCUGCUACAUGUGCUUUGAUUUAGUUCAAUGUGCUUCAAAUAAUAUUGAGAUUAAAACUUUAACAAUUAUUUUCUAAAGGACGGCAUUAUUUAACUUCCAAAGUCGCAUAUUUUUGUAAAAUAUUAAGUCCGAAUUUGUGACGCGUCUCACACCGUAAUUGUUUUUGAUUUACAAGGACUUUUCAAUUUCCGUGAAAAAUACAACUUUUUCGAUGUUUCUUUUUAUGAAUUUUUCAUAUUUAAACUUCUAGAAUCAUUUCUAUGCGUUUCCUUCAGCAACUUGAUGCUGGUAAACGACUUUUCCAUGAAAAUACUGCAAAAAGAAAUCGCAUGAUACGAAAAGAAGCUUGAUUCCAACCUUUGGCAAUGGCUAAUACUAGAAGAGGCAAGGCAUACAUGUACAUGUACAAUACAUGAUUAUCUGUAGCACCUGGAUUAUCCACAAUAAUUCCAUAACAGCAAUGAAACUCUAGACUACUAUGAUGUUAUGUACAUGUAUAUCUACAUAUAUGAUCAAUGUUGAAGAUUGUUUAUGCCAUGUCUCAUCAUGUUGACUAGUCCGACAAGUUUUGGUUCAGCUUUCUGACAGGAAUAAUUAUAAACUUGCCAGCAGUAACAACACAUGAAUAUUAGUUAUUAUUAAGUGCCCCUAUCGGUCUAGCAAUUUUUAUUAUUGUGCACUAAGAAGUAUGCCUAGUAAUCCAAAACUUUUUGCAUGAAGUUAUUUAAAGAUAGUUGGAAUUCAUGAUAUUGAUGCAUUGUGCAGAAACAUGAAAUAUUUUAGUUUGUAUUCUUAACAAUCCAAGAGUAAGGUUAAAUUGUACCAAGGAGAAUUACUUAUUACAAUAAUUACGCAGUAGUAUUUUGAUUGUGGAUUCUUUUCAAUUUUAUUAUUUACUGAAUGCAUAUUUGUCACUUGUUUAAUGCCUUGUUCAAACGUAAGUUUAAUUUGAAUUGAAUGCGAACCAAGUUCACACAAUAUUCUUUUUUUCAUUUUGAAUUGAAUUCAAAUCUAAUGCGAAUCGAAUUCGCUAAUAGCAUUCACACACUCUUCUUUUUUUAAUUCGAAUCUAAUUCAAAUUGGCUAAUUUGCAUUAUCCAAAUCUCAUUAGAAAUACCUUUUUGAGUUAAUUCGAUUAAACUUUGGUGUGAACACUUUCUAAAUUGUAAUUCAAAUUAAACUAUAAUAGAUUAAUUGAUAAAUUGAAUGAAGGGUUAACGUCAUUUGGACAGUAAAGCAAUUUUGACGCAUAUUGCAAUUUGAAGUAGAAUUUACAUUUGGACAUUAAACAUGUUAAACUUUUCGAAUGGGUAUUAAACUAUAAAUUCAAACCAGUUAAUGCGAAUCGAAUUCGAAUUAUGUGUAAACACAGCAUUAAUAUAUCUAAGAAAUGAGGAAUAUAAAAUUAUUAAAAAAAGAUGGCCAAAUAUUUGUAUUAA
Mytilus californianus (California mussel) is the source of this 3316-nucleotide long non-coding RNA. RefSeq lists it as uncharacterized. Lineage: Eukaryota; Metazoa; Mollusca; Bivalvia; Mytilida; Mytilidae. The record is from RefSeq and is a predicted model, not a curated record. The transcript is spliced from 2 exons.